AUUGAACGCUGGCGGCAGGCCUAACACAUGCAAGUCGAGCGGAUGAAGGGAGCUUGCUCCUGGAUUCAGCGGCGGACGGGUGAGUAAUGCCUAGGAAUCUGCCUGGUAGUGGGGGAUAACGUCCGGAAACGGGCGCUAAUACCGCAUACGCCCUGAGGGAGAAAGUGGGGGAUCUUCGGACCUCGCUAUCAGAUGAGCCUAGGUCGGAUUAGCUAGUUGGUGGGGUAAAGGCCUACCAAGGCGACGAUCCGUAACUGGUCUGAGAGGAUGAUCAGUCACACUGGAACUGAGACACGGUCCAGACUCCUACGGGAGGCAGCAGUGGGGAAUAUUGGACAAUGGGCGAAAGCCUGAUCCAGCCAUGCCGCGUGUGUGAAGAAGGUCUUCGGAUUGUAAAGCACUUUAAGUUGGGAGGAAGGGCAGUAAGUUAAUACCUUGCUGUUUUGACGUUACCAACAGAAUAAGCACCGGCUAACUUCGUG
Molecule: ribosomal RNA, 482 nt
Filed under: uncultured bacterium
Lineage: Bacteria
Description: partial 16S ribosomal RNA
Rfam family: Bacterial small subunit ribosomal RNA
Source: RNAcentral